Non-coding RNA from Lolium perenne, 4385 nucleotides. The record is from RefSeq and is a predicted model, not a curated record. Lineage: Eukaryota; Viridiplantae; Streptophyta; Magnoliopsida; Poales; Poaceae.
UACACCGACCUGUAUAGGAUUUGCGGGCGGAGACGGCGGCUAUGGGGCCGCAGGCCGCCGGCGAACGUGCCUGUCCUGCUCACCGACAGGUACCAGUUCUCCAUGGCCUACGCCAACUAGAAGGCCGCGGCGAGCACAAGGACCAAGCCGUGUGAGGUUCCUCCUGCUCCUCACUUCCACUCUCGUACAUACACUGGUAUGCGUUCACUGGUUCGAUCGGAUUAGGUUGGCUGUGAUUGAAAGGCCCAUUGUUCGAACGAUUGCUCGAUUUGGCUUGUGAUAAUGGGGUCGGCUAUUAGGCUUUCACUUAUAUCCUUCGCGUUAAAUUGUAAGUGAGAUUCACGGAUAUUCUUCUUUGCAAAAGGAUCAGGGCAUUUAUUGGGCCGAAGUUUACUGGACAGAUAGAUGGGUUGCAGGGCAAAUCAUUUCUGAUCUCGCCCCUGCUAUGGUCGCUGCUGUCAAUUCUCGUGCCAUUAAAAGCCUGACGGUUGCCGCUGCCUUACCUGAGAGUGCUUGGAUCAGAGGCAUCACCGGCCAUUAUCCAAUUUCUGCACCUGGUCUGUGGAGAACUAUGAAACAAAUAGAUUAUCGUUUGCUAUAUGCGUGUAUCUGUGGAGUUCCUUGUGUGAAGGACCACGUAUAUUUGCCCAUAUUCUUGUUCCAUCUGAAUUUGUCCGAUUAUAUUUUGCGGUUUAGUAUAAUCACUCUGUAUCAUACUAGGGGUAUUAGGCUUCUUUUCCAUAGUGGGUUCUGGCAUUACAUUCUUAAUAAUUGAUAUUUUCUGAAGAAAAGAUCACAGCCACUUCAGGUUAGAUCAUUAAAUAGUUCUAUGUCUUCAUGUACUGGAGGUGCGAAAUUGGAUACUAGUAUUCCACUACGGUGUAGAAGUGGAUCCAUUUCUUGUGUAACAAUGGGAAUAUUUGGCCAUUUUCACAAUGAAUAGAUGCUAUGUUUCUCGAAGGAAGAUCUAUGUACCAGCCGUAUGAAAGAAACCGGUGAAACAGGGAAAGUUCGAUGAAUGUUGCAUUUGUUGAUGGGCAUCUUUUGAAAAAAGAAAAAAAUGUUUCCUGUCAUAUGGGAAGCAUAGUGUCUUCAUCCUAAUUUUCACUAGACUCAACUGUUUUAUGAAGAGUACAAGAAUUUAAACUACUGAAAAAAGUUAAGUAUCCCUAACUUCCUUAAUCAAGUAACUGCAACUCUCAUGGGAAGCCCUGCUAUGCAUUAAUUUCCUUUUGUACAAAUUGUAAAUAUUUGAACAGUAACUGACAAUUGUGCUCUAGAGGUGUCUGCUAUCAGUGCAUAUUCAUACAAAAUAUUAGUUCUUGUUUGUGUAUGAAGUCAAUCUUGAAUUUCCCAUUUUACCUUACCCCGAUAUGUUCCAGACUCUUUCCUUUUCUACCUUUAGACAAGGAUGCGAAUAAAAAUUCUUGUGAUCCAGAUGUGCACUGUCCGUGGAUCGUAAACCAUGCUGGUAGUGAUAGCAUGCCCACAAGGAAGGUCAUGCACCUUGGUCCACACCCUUUGAGAAAAUAUAUGGUUAGCAAGCAAAUAUUUGUGGAACUUUGCCAUCUUUUCAACUAAUUUUUUUUGUUUCUAUGUACGUACUUUCUCUGUAUGUAUAUGUUAUUAAAGGAUAUAUACUUUGCUUCUUUUGGAAAUUUUGCAUCGCUAAAGUUUCCUCACUGGUCGUUCCUUUUCUUCAUUCAGUAUUUUUCUUCUCGAACACAUCUCUAAAUGUGUGUCAUUUGUGUUAGAAGAAAGCACCUAAAUAGUGCAAAGUAUUACAGCUUAAACAGCGAGCAAAACAUAAAGGCUAUAGCUAAAACAAUAAAAUAAUGCCACAAAAACGCAAAGAAAAGAACGGGCAUAUAGAACUGUAUUAGCUACUCUAUGCUACGGUAUCCUACUUUAGAUUCCAACAUCACGAGUGCAGGCAUGUAAGGGAAGCUUGCGGAGCGCCUUCGCUGGCGUCCAUAGAUUUGCUUCAGGUUUUUUUGAGGGAAGAGCAGCGCUGCUUCGUUUCAUAAAGAGAAAACCAGGACAAAUGCCGGCAAAAGUACAAGGUAGAACUUAAUUACAAAACAAAGAUGAAAACAGCUAAAGGUCCAUAGAUUUGCUUCAGGUUUGAUAUGUACUAUAGAAUACUGUUUGUACUAACCUUGAAUAAUGUAUUGGGUUUAUUGCAAAACUUUUUGUUCAGAGAAGAUGAUAUCUCUUUCCUUCAAUCUGUCUCAAGCAUAUAUGUGAGGUACAAUCUUUGCGCUCCUAAUAUUUUGUAUGAAUCUGAUGAAUCUGUUGAUGGUACCUCACAUAUGAGCAUGACUGAUAGAAUGAAACUUUACAUGCACAGAAUAUGAUAUACAGGUCUAAUUCAGGAAGCAUGGCUAAUCAACAGAUAGAUACUUUCCAUGGUUGUUCAAUCUGUUUGGCAUACGGCUUCAUGGAACACAUUCUCAUGCUUAUGUUAGCUCGUUCAUGGUUGGUAAAUGUUGUGUUCUGUUAUUCUAACUGAAUAGAACCAUCACACUCAUAAAUUUCUCCUCUAUUUUCUUACCGAAGCACAUUCUGUCAGCAUGCAUCCUCAUAACCAGAUUUUUCUUCAAAAGUACGCAAUUGCACCAUAACCAGAUUAUUACCUAUUCUUUACCAUGUUUCCUGAGUUAUACUAUCGUCUAGCAGUUUGUUUCUGAUUCAAUCUUUACUUUCCUUGUAUUAGAAGUUUGUCAUCUCCUCUGUAAGUAGCGUACACUAGGAAAUCAAGCAAUAAACCAGUAGUUCUGGAAUCCCUAACCCACUUCUGUCCUCUCUAACCUGUGCUGCCCUUAACCUUUAUUUGGUAAAAUGUACCACCAACUUUACCUUCACCUUCUGAUUCAAAAAAAAAAAAAACUUUACCUUCACCUUCAGGUUAUGAUAAGUGGAUAUCCUAACAUUUAUGCAGUUGCUGUAGAUAUCUAUGAUCUACGGUAUGUUUGACUUGGCCUUAGAUCUACUGCUGGCAAUGAUGAGGAAACAAUAUGCAGGGCCAUGAGUUAGACACUGUCGGCAUAGGGGCUUAUCUUGUUAGUAUAUGUUAUUCUGAGCAAGCCCUAGGCCGUUAUCUAGUUGAGAUUAAUAAUAAACCAUGCAUCAAACUUUCCGAGGACAUAGCAUAAGUAUGUUAUCAUUUCAAAAUAGGCAGCAAGUGCAUGUCAUUUUAUUUUUCCCUUGACUUAUGCUGCCAUGAAACGAGCCAAAUAUACAAGAAAUAUAUCUGACAGUUGUGUAUAGUUUAGUUCAAAAUGCACAAAAACUAAACUAUACCACCAGCACACUCGCUUGUGUAUUUAUGAGGUUUUACUGACAACAAAUAAUUAUGGGAUAUGGUAUUAGAAAGACUGAUAUCCAAAAGUUGCCUUGUAAAUAAGAGAGAGAAUAGCUAGCGGGGGUGUUCAAAAUACAUAAAUCAGGGAAGGUGAGAAAAAAUCCUUAAAUUCACACGAUCGUCUUACAAAUAAUGAAACACUUGAGUCUGCCACAUAUUUCCAUUUGUCAUAUUACGACUAGAUAUCUUUUGAAUCUUUGUUGAAUUGCUUUGUGCAGUUGGAUAUAGACUUUAUGAAGAAAAGAACUACAAACUCUUCAAAUGUUGUUAUGCUGAAACAUUCCAAGCUGGAGAACGAAUCCUUUGUUGCCAUCGGUUUAUUAAAUUGAAGAGAGCUACGGUUUUGGAUCCCUCAGCGUGUCGAGGAGCACGUACACUGCUAUUGGCUUGGAAUAUCAAAUAAACUGAGAGCAGACUUGCCGAUCAGAAACUGCUGCAUGCAACAGAUUGAAAAACUGCGCCAGAUCAUUUUCAGGAGAUGAAAUCCAAUGCCCUACGAGGUUUGCUCCCAUCCUCACUUCAUCAUGCCAGAACAACAGAGCCAUGAUCUCAUUUCCUCAAACAGCUAAGUUUGAGCAGUGCAUUGUAUGAUUUCAGCCAUUCCCUAUAUAUGGUUGGUGACGCACCAGUUGUUGAAUCACGGGCCUAUUUGGAUUAAAGCCACACCUUGCCAAGCCACAGGUUAGGCAUGCCACACCCUCUCAUUCUAGUGUUUGGUUCUUUGCCUCACUUGUGGUGUGCCACAAUUUGUUAGCACCUGUCAUACAUAGAAAUUCUUGCCAAGUCUUGCCAAUCAACCAAACAGACCCUACAAUAACUGGUUAUCCAUCAAGCUCCAGUCGCAGAAUGAAGAUGUAAUUAUUACAUGGCAGUUGGAAUGAAUACCAAGAUGGAAUUAUUACAUGGUUGUGUACAUUUGGUCCAUUAAGCUCCAGUCCCAGAAUCCUGUCAGUGUUUAUUCGAGAACAUGCCAAUCCUGUAAGAUUUUAGUUCUUAUUAUUGAUGCAAAUCAUUUACUGGU